Molecule: unclassified non-coding RNA, 201 nt
Filed under: Hevea brasiliensis (rubber tree)
Lineage: Eukaryota; Viridiplantae; Streptophyta; Magnoliopsida; Malpighiales; Euphorbiaceae
Source: RNAcentral
GUCGCUGAAGAUUAUGUUUGGCAUGACAAUUUCAUUGCUUCCACUAUCUUCAAUAUUAAUCUGUUCUUCAUUUUUAAUUCUCACAUCUCGCACCCGUUCAUCCUGAUCAGUGGAAGCCAUUGAAUGGGUUGUUGAAGAAGGAACUGUAUCCAAACAAUCCUCUUUGCUUGUUGGCAUGUUGGGUUCAUUGGCUGGGGCUUU